This 443-nucleotide ribosomal RNA is filed under the name HMWdDNA-degrading marine bacterium 24. Its description in RNAcentral is "bacterial SSU rRNA". It matches the Rfam family "Bacterial small subunit ribosomal RNA", at positions 20 to 465 of the family's 1533-position model. The record is from RNAcentral.
UGGCUCAGAUUGAACGCUGGCGGCAGGCCUAACACAUGCAAGUCGAACGGUAGCAGGAAGUGCUUGCACUUCGCUGACGAGUGGCGGACGGGUGAGUAAUGCUUGGGAACUUGCCUUUGCGAGGGGGAUAACAGUUGGAAACGACUGCUAAUACCGCAUAAUGUCUACGGACCAAACGGGGCUUAGGCUCCGGCGCAGAGAGAGGCCCAAGUGAGAUUAGCUAGUUGGUGGGGUAAAGGCUCACCAAGGCGACGAUCUCUAGCUGUUCUGAGAGGAAGAUCAGCCACACUGGAACUGAGACACGGUCCAGACUCCUACGGGAGGCAGCAGUGGGGAAUAUUGCACAAUGGGGGAAACCCUGAUGCAGCCAUGCCGCGUGUGUGAAGAAGGCCUUCGGGUUGUAAAGCACUUUCAGUUGUGAGGAAAGGUUGGUAGUUAAUACC